UUGAUAUAUUGUCGUUGCCAACCAUCCCGCGCGAGCCCUGGGAAACUGCAAGAGAGGAUUGGAGCGAGACGAAGGGCGGUUAGUGUCCGUCUGUAUGCGUGGGUUCAGAGAUGCUGCCGAAGGAAGGAAGAGGCGAAAGCAAGAACGGAGAUAAACAGAGGAACAAAGAAGCCGAGACGUAGAGAGGAAGAUAGAGGAAUGGGAUUGGAACAAGAACGAAGAAAGGGGGUGAAGGCUCACACCCUUUGUACCCCACGCUGGCUCCCCGGAUUAAAGCAUUGCCGUUACUGGUUAUUAUAUCACGAGAUACGAACGAGCGGUGCACGUCUGCGGGACAAAGUACACAACAAUAACAUGUGGUUCUAUGCAGAUAAACUGCGCCAGCAGAAACAAUGCCGGUCUGACCCUCGUGGGGCCGACAGUAAAGGUAUACGCCACUGGACCGAACAAGAAUUAUGGUCUCGCCCCGGUAAUUUCAGAACCAGGAUUAAACCGCCUAGAAGUUCACAGAUAUGUGUACAAUAGUACAUGAACUCGUUGAAAAGGAGAAGAUUCUCACUCAUGCUUCAAAAGCGCAAGUUCUUCUCAAGAAUGCUCUUACCUUGCAAGUCACAGUCUCACCCUGCAGCCGACAUUAAUUAAUGUAACUCGACGAGGAAUACGAGCAUAAUUACUUUGCUCGAGUGGCCGGGGCCGAAAGUUUGCUCGUUAUCGGGACUCCACGUAGCUACAUGUAGAUGAUGCAAAGGCACAUUCGAUAAUCUAGUCUUAACACCGGGUGGUAUGACAUUAUCACUUUAUCACCUGUAUCUUAUUGAUAAAUCUGAUCGAAUUAUUAACGUCGCAAAGAGGAAUAUUAAUCUUCGUUUACAUUUGUAAUUUUCUUCUUUUUUUUAGAUUAAUAGAUUUAAUUCUUAGAUUAUUAUACGAUCCAUCAGAUAAAACAG
Molecule: long non-coding RNA, 947 nt
Organism: Camponotus floridanus (Florida carpenter ant)
Lineage: Eukaryota; Metazoa; Arthropoda; Insecta; Hymenoptera; Formicidae
Exons: 4
Source: RefSeq, a predicted model, not a curated record